RNAcentral lists this ribosomal RNA (443 nucleotides) under uncultured bacterium. RNAcentral's name for it is "bacterial SSU rRNA". It matches the Rfam family "Bacterial small subunit ribosomal RNA", at positions 78 to 518 of the family's 1533-position model. The record is from RNAcentral.
GCAAUCUGAGGUGGCGACCGGCGCACGGGUGAGUAACACGUAUGCAACCUGCCUGUAAGCGGGGAAUAACCCGUUGAAAGACGGACUAAUACCGCAUAAUACUAAAUUACUGCAUGGUAAUUUAUUUAAACAUUUAUGGCUUACAGAUGGGCAUGCGCAUGAUUAGCUAGUUGGAGAGGUAACGGCUCCCCAAGGCAACGAUCAUUAGGGGUUCUGAGAGGAAGGUCCCCCACACUGGUACUGAGACACGGACCAGACUCCUACGGGAGGCAGCAGUGAGGAAUAUUGGUCAAUGGACGAGAGUCUGAACCAGCCAAGUCGCGUGCAGGAAGAAUGUCCUAAUGGAUUGUAAACUGCUUUUGCAGGGGAAUAAAGUGCAUCACGUGUGAUGUUUUGUAUGUACUCUGCGAAUAAGGAUCGGCUAACUCCGUGCCAGCAGCCGC